GGGGAGGGCGUAAAGGCUGCGUGGGGGGCAAGGAACGGAGACAGAAGCCCCACCCAGUGAAUCCCCGCUUUGCCCCGAGGGUUUCUCUCGCCAGGACCGCGGAGCCCCCUGCCAUCUCUUUGACUGCAGGGGACGGGGUGGGGGGUGCAGCUCAUCCGAAGAGGGAAACCGCACCCACACCCGCGGGUUUCUCCGCCUGCCGUGUCCUCGCCAGGCUGGUCCCUCUGAACCAGGAGUCCCCGACUCCCGAGUCAGGGCCUGGAGCUGUCCCUUUGCAAAGUCAGAGGAGAUAAGGCCUUGGCUCCCAGUGCCCGGGGAGAAGAUGGGCCCGAACUGUCAUCUGACUCCUCGUUGUGAAACCUGCAGAUGUAAUUCAUGUACCCACUGAGCAGCCUAAGAACGAGGCUACUUCCUGUCUGCAUCCCUUCAGCAGACUGCCUGCCAUACCCAUCACAUUCUGGUUUAACGCUUGCUCAAUAGUCAAACCGUUUUCUUUCUCUUCUAUCAUCAUGGAGAGGUUUUCGGCCUUAGGAGCAGAUUUUGUUUUCAAUCUCUUCCCCACACUUUGCACAGCACCGGGAAUGAAUCUCAUGUCAGGGACAGGCAGAGACACGAAUCCUCCUAUUGACCCGAAGAAGGCAGUCCAGGCCCAGCGGUCUGCGGCUUCUCUCCCAAAGUUUUCAGCUGCUGAUUUUUUUUUAAGAUUGAUUUAUUUAUUUUUGGCUGUGCUGGGUCUUCAUUGCUGUGUGGGGGCUUUUCUCUGUGGUGAGCGGGAGCUGCUCUCUGGUUGCCGUGCGUGGGUCUCUCAUUGUGGUGGCUGCUCUUGUGGUGGAGCCCCGGUUCUGGGGCUUCAGCAGUUGCGGCACAUGGGCUCAGCAGUUGCAGUUUUUGGUCUCUAGCUCACAGGCUCAGUAGUUGUGGUGCAUGGGCUUAGUUCCACAUGCUCCUUGGCAUGUGGAAUCUUCCCAGAUCAGGGACAAAAUGCAGUCUCCUGCAUUGGCAGGUGGAUUCCUACCCACUGGCAGUGGUGGUUUAGUCCCUAAGUCGUGUCUGAUUCUUGUGACCCCAUGAACUGUAGCUCGCCAGGCUCCUCUGUCCAUAGGAUUUUCCAAUCAAGAAUGCUGGAGUGGGUUGCCAUUUCCUUCUCCAGGGUAUCUUCCCAACCCGGGGAUCAAACCUGAGUCUAAUACACUGCAGGCAGAUUCUUUACCGACUGAGCUACCAGGGAAGCCCAGGGGCCACCAGGGAAGCCCCCAGCUGCUGAAUUUCUUACUUGUGGGUUUUGAAUUGUAGGCAGAACAUGCUCUGUGAGCAUCAAAAUAUUGAGCCUAAGUCUACAGGAACGGAAUUUUGUAAAUGUCCCAAGAUGGUUGCUGAUGGCCCAUGUGUUUUGAGUCCAUCUCCCACCUGAGAGGCCAGGUGGCCGGUGAAAGUCCUAGGAAUUGUGUCACUCCACGUGGCACCAGAUCCCUUGCUACCUCGUCCCUGUGCAGCCUGCCCUUGGCUGUGGCUGUCCUCUGAGCAAAACAGUGAAAUCAAAGAGGCCCUUCCGCUGCACAGGACAUAAUUACCUGACCCAAGAUACUCCCCUCCUUUACUACCAGCAUUCUUUCUCUGAGUCAGCCCAGGACUCUCAGGAGUUGCAGCUGAAUGAGCUUUAUUCAGCGUCUUUAGAGGCAGAAGCACCUGGGAAGGCGCUGCGGGGUGCGUCACACCUUAACCGGGUUGCUUUUUGCAAAUGUCCACGGAGACUUCACACUUAAUGAAGCUUUGCCAGGAGGAGGGGAUCUUCCUGACCCAGGGAUCGAACCCAGGUUUCCUGCAUUGCAGUCAGACUCUAUACCGUGUGAGCCACCAGGGAAAAGAAAGGAAUCUACAAAGCAUCUGUGUGCUGAGGCCCCUGGGUCAGAGGAGUGUUUAGACUUGAUCUUGUCAUCAAAAUGUGGCCCAAAAUGGACACAGAGCCUUCCCAGUUGGGUGGUGACUGCACUCAUGUUCGCUUGGUCUGAGAAUGUUCUCAAAUGAUAUCCAUGUGACCAUUCAGCCUGGUGAAGGCUCUGAAUUCCACUUUAUGGACCUUUUUUGAGUUCAGAAUAAUGUUUUCAGAAAGCCUUCAGAAGAGAGCAUGGAGCA
Long non-coding RNA from Bos taurus (domestic cattle), 2133 nucleotides. NCBI's taxonomy places the organism in Eukaryota, Metazoa, Chordata, Mammalia, Artiodactyla, Bovidae. The record is from Ensembl.